This 861-nucleotide long non-coding RNA is filed under the name Elaeis guineensis (African oil palm). RNAcentral's name for it is "long non-coding RNA (EGUI_LNC048622)". The record is from RNAcentral. Lineage: Eukaryota; Viridiplantae; Streptophyta; Magnoliopsida; Arecales; Arecaceae.
UACUGUGAGCAAAUUCCAUUCGAGCCCUUACUGUAAACACGUCUCUUCCGCACUUCCAUUACAGGUAGACUUCAGCCGAGCUUCUUCGUAGCCGGAUACCAGACGAGCUUCUACAGCAGGAUAGGACCCACCAGCCAGAUCACUACUCCUAGCUCCCAUGACAAUCGAUCUUCGAUCAAGCUUCUACAAUAAGCGAUCUCCUUUCAGCCCUCUACAAGAACCAGACCUCGACCGAACUUCCAUAGCGAAUGGAUAUCGGACGAGCUUCUACGAUGGACGGACUCCGACAGCUGGAUUCUUACAAUGAUUGAUUGCCUCCGACGUCUACCGAACCUCCCCAGCACCAUCCGAAGUCCAUCAUCGACCGACCCUCUGCUAGAUCCUUCAUGAAAUCGAACUUCUCCGAUGGAUCAUCUUCAGACGAGCUUCCACAUCAGGCAAAUCCCAGACGGACUUCUCUAGCAAUUGGACUCCUACUGGGCCUCACCAACGAAAAGUCUCCAUCCGAGCUUCUACAGCAGAUGACUCCUACCUGUAGUAUCAAUGCCUAAGGUAUCCGAUAGUAGUAGACUCGCCAACAGCUUUGGAGACAUCCGAGCUUCUCCCAGAUCGAUGGGAUAGAGAGCCAUUCCGCUCCAUCAGACAUCCCAGCCGAGCUUCAACCGACAGAUCCGAACUCUCUGGCAAGUCACGACAAUGGCCACUACCCUACUCCACUUUCUGUAGCGGAUUCCACGUGGCUCUACUACUCUCUGGCAAGUCACGACAACGGACACCACUCUACUCUCCAUAGCAAACUCCACGUGGCCCUGAACGACCUCUGACGCCACUACUCUCCGUAACAAACUUUGGGUGGCUCUG